CUCAAUAAUUAAUGAUUUUCCGCGAAAUGAUACGCCAGCUUCACACACACCAAAACGUUCCGUGCAAAUGAGUUGGAUGUGCUUUGCGGCAUUUUCAAUUUGGAAAACAACUGCGGAAGGAUAUCGCAUAUCGAAAAAAGUAAAAGAAGAAGAGGAGCAGUAUCUUCGUCGGAAAGAAGCAUUUUUCAGUGACAAAUACUCAAUGGCAUAAACUGAUAAAUGUCAACUAAUAAAUUGAGUAAUUAUUGAACUUACUGGCGAAUCAAAGUUGUUGGUGAAUUAAACUGAUAAAUGUUUAGUGAUUCUAUUUUGGUUGUACAGGUGAUGCACUUGCUUGGCUUUAUUCUGCCAGCAGGGCAUGGUCGCAUUGUAUGCAGAUCCCCUGCAGAAGAUCAACCUGCUUGUCAUCGAAGAGAUGCACACAUGAAUAAAUUUGUUUCAACAUCUUGGGGAAAAAAGAUUCUUCGAGAGAAGGUUACCGAAACGUUGAUAUUGAAUGUGUUAAGAGAUUAUAAACAUUUUAUCAGAAUAUCUCUAAAGAUUAACACAUUCAAUGAAUUAACAUUUAACUCGAGCUGGAAACCAGAGUUUCAUCCGACGUUGCCGGUUAGCCGAGACCUUCGACGGUCUUUCUCGUUCUCGAACCGUAUAAUUGUAUACUGAACCAGUGAGGAUUCUCUAAGCUUCGGAUCUCCACAAGCACUGUAUUUUCAUCACGACUGCGGUACUCUGAUUGAUAUUGCAUGAACGCUCACAUAUAUCUGAUUUUGAACUUACGUAACUGUGAUGAGCUCAAUCAAUUAAUGGAAGGAAAAGAAAACGGACGUAAAAAAAUAACUUUACGACAUUGCAGUAGUAUAUUGUUAAUAUAAUUCGUUUUUAAUAGUUUUAUUUCAUGGAAAUGUUUUCAAACAUGAUCACAGAAUUUUUAUUCUUAAGCAUGAUAACAAAA
Molecule: long non-coding RNA, 952 nt
Organism: Ooceraea biroi (clonal raider ant)
Lineage: Eukaryota; Metazoa; Arthropoda; Insecta; Hymenoptera; Formicidae
Source: RefSeq, a predicted model, not a curated record